UACGUAGGGCGCAAGCGUUGUCCGGAAUCAUUGGGCGUAAAGAGCUCGUAGGUGGUCUGUUACGUCUGCUGUGAAAUCCUAGGGCUUAACCCUGGGCCUGCAGUGGAUACGGGCAGACUAGAGGUAGGUAGGGGAGAAUGGAAUUCCCGGUGUAGCGGUGAAAUGCGCAGAUAUCAGGAGGAAUACCGAUGGCGAAGGCAGGUCUCUGGGCUGACACUGACGCUCAUGCACGAAAGCGUGGGGAGCAAACAGG
This 253-nucleotide ribosomal RNA is filed under the name uncultured bacterium. RNAcentral describes it as "partial 16S ribosomal RNA". It matches the Rfam family "Bacterial small subunit ribosomal RNA", at positions 524 to 776 of the family's 1533-position model. The record is from RNAcentral.